Molecule: long non-coding RNA, 1891 nt
Filed under: Eucalyptus grandis
Lineage: Eukaryota; Viridiplantae; Streptophyta; Magnoliopsida; Myrtales; Myrtaceae
Description: long non-coding RNA (EGRA_LNC001379)
Source: RNAcentral
CUCCAUUGUUGUUGAAGGAUAGAAGCUCAGCAAAAACCAGAGGAACCGAGCAGCACCAGCCCCUCCAUCGUCGCACGCCCGGAAGGCCAUCGUCGGCCGUUUUCCUCCUCUGUUUUCUCCUCGUUCCAGUUUCUGCUCCAGCCGACCUUUCGCCAAAUAUUCGAGUUAAAAGUCGACUUCCUGGAUGAAUCAGCGAACGCUCCACCCACUUCCGUGACGAGGACAUCCAGCCCGUUCCGGAGCAUCCCACCGCUCGCCGGAACGAUUCUCCGGUCGUCCCGAAAUCCUGAGAGAAGCUGCCGCUCGCCGGACCGUCUGGUUCCGCCCUGCUCCGCCUGUUCCGCGUUUUCUUGCUGUUUCGCCCCUUUCCGACCCUUCCUUUGCCCAUCCCAACAUCCUAUAAGAUCCCCAAGACCCCCGGGAGCCGCCGGUUGCCAACCACCCGCUUGCCGGAGCUUCGAUCGGCCCGUUUUCGCCGUUGAAGUUGCUGGUUUCUUCUCUGCAGUUCAGCCCAGAUCAGAAGCAGAAAACCAGAAAGCUGUGAGGUCUUCGAGGCCCGUUUUAGGUGUCUUCCCGGCCUUGGUUGGUGUCGCCGCCUUGAGGUUUAUCACCCGCCUUGGCGUCGUGGUCGCCGUGAACUCACCGGCGCGCAAAACCGGUGAGUUUAUCCUCUAAUUCUUGCUUAGUGAGUUAAUGACGCUUAAGGGGUGUUUAGAUUAGUCUAAUUAGGUUUAGGUGGUUAGAUUAGAUUAUUUUAAUGUAAAUUAGAUUAGUUGUAUGAUUAGCUUAAUGGAUGUUUAAUUAGGGCUAAUUGUAUGAUUAAAUUAGUGUAAUCUUGUUUAAGCCCUAAUUAAUUAUUUUUAAUUAAUUAAUUAUUUCGAAUUUAUAAAUAUUAUUUUAUUAAAUUAUAUUAUUAUAAUAUAAUAUUUAAUUAUUAAAUUUUCGGAAUUAAAUUUAAUUAUUUAAUAAUUUCGAAAAUUAUGCCGGGAUGGCCGGUCAUUAGAAUUUCGCGCUGAUCGCAGCAGUGCGGUCGGUUUGUGUUAAUUGUAUGUUUAAAUUGAGAAAUUGAGUGAUUGAUGAUUAUGGUUAAUUAUUCCAAAAGUGUGGAAUUUAGUGAUAUUGAUGAAGUUGUGGUAUUUAACUUGAAAAUACCCGGUGUUGGCUUUUAACACCGUAAUUGGUUUGUAUGACCAGUUUGAAUUGAUUGGAUUGAUUGAUUGAUUGAAUUGAGGUAUGAGUUGGUUUAUUAUUGAAUUAUCAUCUUUGGCAAGCAAUUGGUUUAUAUAUGUAUCAGCUUGUGUGAGCAUCAUUGUCAGCUUGUGUGAGCACUGUAUGUCAGCUUGUGAGAGCAAUGAUCGUUUAUCAGCUUGUGAGAGCAACGAUCUAUCUAUCAGCUUGUGUGAGCUACCAUCUAUGUAUAUAUCAGCUUGUGCGAGCUACCAUCUAUAUCAGCUUGUGUGAGCCGUGAAUGUAUUGAUGGAUGAAUAGAUGGUAUGGUUUAAUAGAUGGUAUGAAUUGAUAGAUAUGUGGAUCGUAUGAUAUCAAUUGGAUUGACUGAAUUGAUAGACCGAUGGGUAUGUCGGUAGUUUCAGCUUGUGCGAGUAUUGUUGAAUAUGAAUUGUACUGACGUGCAGGAAAGGGACUGAGGCGAGGUAAGCCCUCUAUCCUAUUUGUGUGGCUAGAGCGCCCUGAGGCGUAUUUUCUUCCUAAUUGAGUUUUAGAUGGUAGGACUCGCUGAGACGUAGUCUCAUCCCGGUUGUGGGAUAAUAUUUCAGGUUCCUAAAUGACGGUCGUGGAGGACCGGAAGUCCUGGAGUUGGGAAGGUGGAGGCUGAAGAAUUGGCGAAUGUGUCUGACAAGUUGGUCAUAGGACAGUUCCCUUUUUGUUGAGC